CAGUUGACUAGCUUCUUCUUCCGAUUAUCUUCGAGUCAUUGCCCUAGUGUCGUGGCUAUCCUUUCAGCCACAAGAAGAUCCAUUGCUACGGAAACCCCAUUUUGUGCUGGAUCUGUUCCACCAUCAUAGACCGGUGAUUCUUGAGGCUGCGAGGGUUGUUGGAUAGAUUUACCAUCGACGAAAGAGUCAAUAACUGUUGAUAUGGGUAAUAAACUGAAUUUGAUUAGAUUAAUGAGCUGGUUAAUCUAUCCUUAGCUGAUAGUGUUGAAUUAAAGUUGUUCAUGUAGAAUUGAAUCCAUUCUAUCUGUGUAGUUGUGGUUAAUUAGGGGUUAGUGAUGGAUUGGUUGAUUAUUGAUGAUUGGUGCUAGGAUUUGAUUGUAAAUGAAUUAAUGGAAUAAUGAUAAUUAAGAAGUUAAGAAAUUCAAGGAUUAAAUGAUUGGAUUAAUUGAUGAUUCAUGUGUAAACAUAAUCUAAUUAGGUUGAAGUAUAAUUAAGAUUGAUUGGGUGAGAGAGUCAUUAGUGACCAUUGGUAUAUACCCGGUCUACCCAAGGGACCAUCCGUGGUAGAGCGUUCUCCCACAAAUAGUGACUAGUUAUUUACCCUGUCCGCCCACAAGACCAUCCGUGAUAGAGCGUUCUCCCGUGGACAGUAACUAGUUAUUUACCUUGACUGCCCACGUGACUAUCCGUGGUAGAGCGUUUCUUCUGCAGUCAGUAUUUGCUAUAUGUCGGUCAUGUAUUUGUUCAUGCACGUUUUGGAUGUACUGUAUAUACUUCAGAUUUGUUGAUUAUACUUAGUUGAGCAUAUUAGUGAAGUGCUAUAUUAUUGAUUAUACUUUUAGUUAGUUGAUGAUUAUGUUAGGACAUCUACGCUGGUUAGUAAGUAUUUUACUUGAGACUGUAUCUUUUGAUCUCCUGUCAAUAUAUUAUUCAUGCACUAUCUUCUUCUAUCCACUGAGUGGUUGUACUCACUACCUUUUAUUUUUUCCUUGACUUUUAGGUUAGCAGAUAGAGGAAGUGUUGUGUCACUCAGAGGUACUGGCUGCCACUCCUGCUCGUUGGAUUUAUAUUGAGUUGCUUCAUUUUAUUGUUUCUGUUGUCUAUAGUUAUUGUUCCUUCUGUUCUGGAUUUUUUAUUGUUUCACAUGUACAUGCAUUCAUUCAUAUAUUGUCAUUUGUAACUUGGUGUUGUUAUAUUGCA
This is a long non-coding RNA of Zingiber officinale, 1200 nucleotides long. RefSeq lists it as uncharacterized. The record is from RefSeq and is a predicted model, not a curated record. NCBI's taxonomy places the organism in Eukaryota, Viridiplantae, Streptophyta, Magnoliopsida, Zingiberales, Zingiberaceae. The transcript is spliced from 2 exons.